UCCGGUGUCGUCUAAAGGUAGGACAAGGGACUUUGAAUCCCUGAAUCAUGGUUCGAAUCCAUGCGCCGGAACCA
RNAcentral lists this transfer RNA (74 nucleotides) under Myxococcales bacterium. Its description in RNAcentral is "tRNA-Gln". It matches the Rfam family "tRNA". Rfam says of the family: Transfer RNA (tRNA) molecules are approximately 80 nucleotides in length. Their secondary structure includes four short double-helical elements and three loops (D, anti-codon, and T loops). Lineage: Bacteria; Pseudomonadati; Myxococcota; Myxococcia; Myxococcales. The record is from RNAcentral.